RNAcentral lists this ribosomal RNA (549 nucleotides) under uncultured bacterium. RNAcentral's name for it is "bacterial SSU rRNA". It matches the Rfam family "Bacterial small subunit ribosomal RNA", at positions 355 to 896 of the family's 1533-position model. The record is from RNAcentral.
UCGAGAAUCAUUCGCAAUGGGCGAAAGCCUGACGGUGCGACGCCGCGUGGAGGAUGAAGGCCCUAGGGUCGUAAACUCCUGUCAUCAGGGAGUAAAUGUUUACGUAGUAACUGACGUAGAUCUUGAUAGUACCUGAAGAGGAAGGGACGGCAAACUUCGUGCCAGCAGCCGCGGUAAUACGAAGGUCCCAAGCGUUGUUCGGAUUUACUGGGCGUAAAGCGUCUGUAGGCGGCGCGGUAAGUCAGAUGUGAAAUCCCGGGGCUCAACCCCGGAACUGCAUCCGAUACUGCCGUGCUUGAGGGUCGGAGGGGAGUCUGGAAUUCUCGGUGUAGCAGUGAAAUGCGUAGAUAUCGAGAGGAACACUAGUGGCGAAGGCGGCCUGCUGGACGGCACCUGACGCUGAAAGACGAAAGCUGGGGGAGCAAACAGGAUUAGAUACCCUGGUAGUCCCAGCCCUAAACGAUGGUCACUAGCUGUGCCUCAUGUUGGUGGGGCGUGGCGACGCUAACGCAUUAAGUGACCCGCCUGGGGAGUACGGCCGCAAGGCUA